UUGCUGAGCUAAGAAAAGACCUGAGAAAUUUUGAUGGUUUUGCCUUUUGGGGCUUGGAAGAUGAUAGGAAAUUCAGCAGAGCGGCAGUACAGUAGUUGGGGAGGAAUUCAAACGACGCCGUUUUAAUGCACGCCUCUUACUGCCUUCUAGCUUAUACCGAGUUUGUCCUCACUUACUCGUGAGGCUUGGAAUGGAUGAUGGUACUAUUAAUUUUUU
This 216-nucleotide long non-coding RNA is filed under the name Olea europaea subsp. europaea. Lineage: Eukaryota; Viridiplantae; Streptophyta; Magnoliopsida; Lamiales; Oleaceae. The record is from RNAcentral.